AACGAACGCUGGCGGCAGGCCUGACACAUGCAAGUCGAACGCUCCAGCAAUGGAGCGUGGCAGACGGGUGAGUAACGCGUGGGAAACUCCCCCUUGGUUCGGUAUAGCUCACGGAAACUGGCGGCAAUACCGGAUACGCCCUUCGGGGGAUAGAUUUAUCGCCAAUGGAUGGGCCCGCGUCGGAUUUGCUAGGGGGAGGGUUGACGGCCUACCAAGGCGACGAGCCGUAGCUGGUCUGAGAGGAUGAUCGGCCACACUGGGACUGAGACCCGGCCCAGACUCCUACGGGAGGCAGCAGUGGGUAAUAUUGGACAAUGGGCGCAAGCCUGAUCCAACCAUGCCGCGUGAGUGACGAAGGUCUUCGGAUUGUAAAGCUCUUUUGGCGGGGAAGAUAAUGACGGUACCCGCAGAAUAAGCCCCGGCUAACUUCGUGCCAGCAGCCGCCGUAA
This 449-nucleotide ribosomal RNA is filed under the name uncultured bacterium. RNAcentral's name for it is "partial 16S ribosomal RNA". It matches the Rfam family "Bacterial small subunit ribosomal RNA", at positions 29 to 523 of the family's 1533-position model. The record is from RNAcentral.